AACAACAACAACAACAAACAAAAACAACAACAACAAAAAAAACAGAGAGCCCAAAGAGAAGAAAUAAAGAUGCUGUCAGAGAUGGAACAUAGUGGCAGUAAAAGAAAGGACAACCAGUAGACAGGAAAGAAAAAAAACUCCAAGACCCGGAGUUUCUGUCCAUGUCCAAUGCAUUCAAGAUUCUUCUGCAAAUCUGAACAGUCAAAGCCUGAAGUACAUGGAGGAAAGAAGAAAUCCAUUUGAAUGGAAGAAGCAUUCCAAGUGACAGAAUGUAUCAGAACAUUUAAAGACGAAAGAAGGACAUCAUUUUGAAUCAUGAGGCCUACUGGAAAAAUAAACAACAAAAAACAAGCAAGCAAAAUACAGUGGAGAGAGCUGAUAGAGCAGUAGAAAGUCUCCUGGAAUAUCCCCACAGGCUGCUGGUGUCUGAUCCUAGAAAGAAAAGUUCAGAGAAUGAGAACCCCUGGACUGUCUCAAAAAAAAGAAAAAAGAAAAAAACAGAAACGCGACAUGCUCUAAAAAGGAAUAUUUAACCUGGAUUAAUUCAUAAAAUAAUAGGAGAAAAUUUUUGCAGCCAGAAUACUAUGAAUUUGAGUUGGUUGAAGAACAACCUCAUCUUUUAAAGCAGAGAAGUUUUCUCAGAUAUGUUUUCCAGAAUGCCAAAUCGUAAGUAAAUUGAUGAGAAAACUGUGGCUCAAAAGUUAUGUUACUUGUUAGACAUCACCAGACAUUUAAGUGGUUUUUGGGGAACAGGUGGUAUCUGGUCACAUGA
This 772-nucleotide long non-coding RNA is filed under the name Homo sapiens (human). RNAcentral's name for it is "HSALNT0306626". Lineage: Eukaryota; Metazoa; Chordata; Mammalia; Primates; Hominidae. The record is from RNAcentral.